This 83-nucleotide transfer RNA is filed under the name Canis lupus familiaris (dog). It matches the Rfam family "tRNA". From Rfam's summary of the family: Transfer RNA (tRNA) molecules are approximately 80 nucleotides in length. Their secondary structure includes four short double-helical elements and three loops (D, anti-codon, and T loops). Lineage: Eukaryota; Metazoa; Chordata; Mammalia; Carnivora; Canidae. The record is from Rfam by way of RNAcentral. RNAcentral also lists the same sequence under 3 other names.
ACCUGGGUGGCUCAGUGGUUGAGUGUCUGCCUUUGGCUCAGGUCAUGAUCCUGGGGUCUUGGGAUCAAGUCCCACAUCAGGUU